UGGGGAAUAUUGCACAAUGGGGGAAACCCUGAUGCAGCGACGCCGCGUGAGCGAAGAAGGUUUUCGAAUCGUAAAGCUCUGUCCUAUGGGAAGAUAAUGACGGUACCACAGGAGGAAGCCCCGGCUAACUACGUGCCAGCAGCCGCGGUAAUACGUAGGGGGCAAGCGUUGUCCGGAAUCACUGGGCGUAAAGGGUUCGCAGGCGGAAAUGCAAGUCAGUUGUGAAAGGCAGAGGCUCAACCUCUGUAAGCAAUUUAAACUGUAUUUCUUGAGUUGUGGAGAGGCAAGUGGAAUUCCUAGUGUAGCGGUGAAAUGCGUAGAUAUUAGGAAGAAUACCGGUGGCGAAGGCGACUUGCUGGACACAAUCUGACGCUGAGGAACGAAAGCGUGGGUAGCAAACAGG
This 403-nucleotide ribosomal RNA is filed under the name Fusobacteriota bacterium. RNAcentral's name for it is "Fusobacteria bacterium partial 16S ribosomal RNA". It matches the Rfam family "Bacterial small subunit ribosomal RNA", at positions 355 to 776 of the family's 1533-position model. Lineage: Bacteria; Fusobacteriati; Fusobacteriota. The record is from RNAcentral.